Molecule: long non-coding RNA, 1175 nt
Filed under: Ictidomys tridecemlineatus (thirteen-lined ground squirrel)
Lineage: Eukaryota; Metazoa; Chordata; Mammalia; Rodentia; Sciuridae
Description: lncRNA (ENSSTOG00000030191.1)
Source: RNAcentral
CACAGGCUGCUUGUUGUGAAGAACAGAAAGGACGUAUGCUGUUGCUGUGGCUUGGUCGUGGCUUUUCCUCUGUGAAACUCCUGUUGAAAUUUAACACAUUAUAUAGCGAGAGGUGGCACCAGGUGGGACCUCAAGAGGUGGUUAGGGCCCUGCCCUCAUGAGUGGACUAACCCAUGACGUGAUUAAUGGAUUAGUGGACCAUCUUGACAGCAGGUCUGCUAUAAAAACCCGUAUGGCUCGGCCAUUGGCACCCCUCUCAGGUGUGAUGCGCGGCACCACCGCAGUACUCCGCCGUCCACAAGCCACUGCCAGAUGCAGCUCCUCGAGACCUUGGACCAGAACCAUGAGUCAAGCCAGGUCGCCUGGCAUGUCUCCAAGGUCAAGGUGCGUGGCACUGUCUUGCCAGGAGCUGGGGACAGUUCCUUUUGACAUAUCUGUGCACUGGAAGACUGCGGCUGCCUUUUUCCAGGAGAGUGGAAGAUGGCUUCACGGGUGCAGCCAACAUCCUGGGCGAGAAAGGCAAACCUGGCCCAGCCCUCCUUCCCGAGGAGAGGACCGUGGCAGGGCAGGGGUGCAGGUGGGGACUGUCAGAGCCAGACUCUGGGGCUUUGCGCGCUGACUGAUCCACCCCUGGGGACCCGGGAGAGGGUGAAGGCUGCGACGAAUGCUGGUGGACGGCUCCUGGCAGCAGCCCCGCCCCUCCAUGGUUCCCUGUCGGAGAGCCCAGCACCAGUGCCUGGGGAUGGCAGGGCCUCGGGAGCGGCGGGGCUGAAAAGGACCAGUCCUGGCUUCUGAGAUCCCUCGUCCCCGUGCUGAGACAUCUUCCUGACAUCCAGGCUGCAACGUCAUUGAUGUAGCGUGUUUUUUUUUUUUUUUUUUUUCCUAUUAAAAACAAUGUUUUCUGAAGUCCCCAACCGGUUGAUGGUACAUUUAACAGAAAUGAGAAACAGUCAGACGAUGUCAUCGUGGUGAGGUAGAAAGCCAUUGGAGCCUGUGUGUGUGUGUCUGUCUGUCUCUAUUGGAGCGUCUCAUGUCCAGGGCCACCCUGAGCGGGACCUAAUCUGCCUCCUCUUGGCGUCCUCAGCUCUGAAAUGCGAUGGUCAGAAGGUCAGCUUGGUCACUUUAGCAUCUUUCCUGAGGCAGCAAACCCACAAGAGAACAAAUCAGUAAGCGCU